This 440-nucleotide ribosomal RNA is filed under the name Anyperodon leucogrammicus (slender grouper). Its description in RNAcentral is "partial 12S ribosomal RNA". It matches the Rfam family "Bacterial small subunit ribosomal RNA", at positions 769 to 1409 of the family's 1533-position model. The record is from RNAcentral. Lineage: Eukaryota; Metazoa; Chordata; Actinopteri; Perciformes; Serranidae.
AAACUGGGAUUAGAUACCCCACUAUGCUUUGCCUUAAACAUUGAUAGCCUCAUACAACCACUAUCCGCCCGGGAACUACGAGCAACAGCUUAAAACCCAAAGGACUUGGCGGUGCUUUAGACCCACCUAGAGGAGCCUGUUCUAAAACCGAUAACCCCCGUUCAACCUCACCUUUCCUUGUUCCCCCCGCCUAUAUACCGCCGUCGUCAGCUUACCCUAUGAAGGUCCCUUAGUAAGCACAAUUGGUACAACCCAAAACGUCAGGUCGAGGUGUAGCGUAUGGAAAGGGAAGAAAUGGGCUACAUUCCCUACUACAGCGAAUUACGGACAAUAUCACUGAAACGUGUAUCUAGAAGGAGGAUUUAGCAGUAAGCAGAAAAUAGAGCGUUCUGCUGAAACCGGCCCUGAAGCGCGCACACACCGCCCGCCCGUUCAACCUC